GAUGAACGCUGGCGGCGUGCCUAAUACAUGCAAGUCGAGCGAACGGACGAGGAGCUUGCUUUUCUGAUGUUAGCGGCGGACGGGUGAGUAACACGUGGAUAACCUACCUAUAAGACUGGGAUAACUUCGGGAAACCGGAUCUAAUACCGGAUAAUAUUUUGAACCGCGUGGGUCAAAAGUGAAAGACGGUCUUGCUGUCACUUAUAGAUUGAUCCGCGCUGCAUUAGCUAGUUGGUAAGGUAACGGCUUAACAAGGCAACGAUGGAUAGCCGACCUGAGAGGGUGGUCGGCCACACUGGAACUGAGCAACGGCCCAGACUCCUACGGGAGGCCGCAGUAGGGAAUCUUACGCAAUGGGCGAAAGGCUGACGGAGCACCGCGGCGUGAGUGAUGAAGGUCUUCGGCUCGUAAAACUAUGUUAUUAGUGAAGAACAUAUGUGUAAGUACCUGUGCACAUCUUGACGGUACCUAGUCAGAAAGCCACGGCUAACUACGUG
This 497-nucleotide ribosomal RNA is filed under the name uncultured bacterium. Its description in RNAcentral is "partial 16S ribosomal RNA". It matches the Rfam family "Bacterial small subunit ribosomal RNA", at positions 28 to 507 of the family's 1533-position model. The record is from RNAcentral.